RNAcentral lists this ribosomal RNA (207 nucleotides) under uncultured bacterium. RNAcentral's name for it is "partial 16S ribosomal RNA". It matches the Rfam family "Bacterial small subunit ribosomal RNA", at positions 568 to 774 of the family's 1533-position model. The record is from RNAcentral.
CGUGUAGGCGGGUUAAUAAGUUUGAAGUGAAAUCCUAUGGCUCAACCAUAGAACUGCUUUGAAAACUGUUGACCUAGAAUAUGGGAGAGGUAGAUGGAAUUUCUGGUGUAGGGGUAAAAUCCGUAGAGAUCAGAAGGAAUACCGAUUGCGAAGGCGAUCUACUGGAACAUUAUUGACGCUGAGACGCGAAAGCGUGGGGAGCAAACA